This 161-nucleotide small RNA is filed under the name Escherichia coli. RNAcentral describes it as "novel sRNA, function unknown". Lineage: Bacteria; Pseudomonadati; Pseudomonadota; Gammaproteobacteria; Enterobacterales; Enterobacteriaceae. The record is from RNAcentral.
AAACUGACCCGCCGCGAACAACGCGCCCGGGCCCAACAUUUUAUCGACACCCUGGAAGGCACCGCCUUUCCCAACUCAAAACGCAUUUAUAUCACUGGCACACACCCCGGCGUGCGCGUGCCGAUGCGUGAGAUCCAGCUUAGCCCGACGCUAAUUGGCGG